CCUACGGGUGGCUGCAGUCGAGAAUCUUUCACAAUGGGGGCAACCCUGAUGGAGCGACGCCGCGUGGAGGAUAAGGUCUUCGGAUUGUAAACUCCUGUCAUGCGAGACCAAGGUUGCAGGGCUAACACCUUUGCAAAUUGAUGGUACCGCAAGAGGAAGAGACGGCUAACUCUGUGCCAGCAGCCGCGGUAAUACAGAGGUCUCAAGCGUGGUUCGGAAUCACUGGGCGUAAGGGUUGUAAGGGAGGCGUGAAAGCCCUGGGCUCAACCUCGGAAUUGCAUCCGAGACUGCCAUGCUGGAGUACUGGAGAGGGGACUAGAAUUCUAGGUGUAGCAGUGAAAUGCGUAGAUAUCUAGAGGAAUACCAACGGCGAAGGCAGGUCACUGGGCAGUUACUGACACUGAGGCACGAAGGCCAGGGGAGCAAACGGGAUUAGAUACCCUUGUAGUC
Molecule: ribosomal RNA, 450 nt
Filed under: uncultured bacterium
Lineage: Bacteria
Description: partial 16S ribosomal RNA
Rfam family: Bacterial small subunit ribosomal RNA
Source: RNAcentral